Molecule: long non-coding RNA, 439 nt
Organism: Metopolophium dirhodum (rose-grain aphid)
Lineage: Eukaryota; Metazoa; Arthropoda; Insecta; Hemiptera; Aphididae
Exons: 4
Source: RefSeq, a predicted model, not a curated record
UAAUUCGAUUAUUUGAAAUUCGACUACAGACUACAUUCGUACAGAGUUCUUUUCAUACAUUUUAGUAAAAGAUUACCAUGCAUAAGUGUAUUCUUUUUAGUAAAACAUCCAGAGUAUCGCCUCGCCAAAUUACUUUAAUUUUCAUUUAUUUCCAAAAAAAUGAAAAUACAAGGAAAUAAUGGCCAAAAAUCUUCAAAUUAAAUUAUUAAUCAAUUUUUAUCUGGCAUAGAAUCUGCGCUAAUCAUUUCACAAUCAGUGAUUAUAAACAAAGCUCACAACACUGGCACUACUCAGAGCGUGACUAAUAAAUUAUCGAAGAGAAAAUUAUAUUUCUCCACCGAUGUGUUAGAAGAAAAUGAACAGACCAAUAAAGAAUUUGUAGACUUUACAGUUGAUGAUUUUAAUUUAUACAGAAAUUCCUUGGAAACUUAUUAAUGUC